RNAcentral lists this ribosomal RNA (253 nucleotides) under uncultured bacterium. Its description in RNAcentral is "partial 16S ribosomal RNA". It matches the Rfam family "Bacterial small subunit ribosomal RNA", at positions 524 to 776 of the family's 1533-position model. The record is from RNAcentral.
UACGAAGGGGGCUAGCGUUGUUCGGAAUUACUGGGCGUAAAGCGCACGUAGGCGGACUACUAAGUCAGGGGUGAAAUCCCGGGGCUCAACCCCGGAACUGCCUUUGAUACUGAUAGUCUCGAGUCCGGAAGAGGUGAGUGGAAUUCCGAGUGUAGAGGUGAAAUUCGUAGAUAUUCGGAGGAACACCAGUGGCGAGGGCGGCUCACUGGUCCGGUACUGACGCUGAGGUGCGAAAGCGUGUGGAGCAAACAGG